RNAcentral lists this ribosomal RNA (459 nucleotides) under uncultured bacterium. RNAcentral describes it as "partial 16S ribosomal RNA". It matches the Rfam family "Bacterial small subunit ribosomal RNA", at positions 338 to 795 of the family's 1533-position model. The record is from RNAcentral.
CCUACGGGUGGCUGCAGUGAGGAAUAUUGGUCAAUGGCCGGAAGGCUGAACCAGCCAAGCCGCGUGAAGGACGAAGGUGCCAAGCAUUGUAAACUUCUUUUGUCAAGGGACAAAAUCAGGCUCGAGAGCCUGACCGAGGGUACUUGAAGAAAAAGCAUCGGCUAACUCCGUGCCAGCAGCCGCGGUAAUAGGGAGGAUGCGAGCGUUAUCCGGGUUGAUUGGGUUUAAGGGGUGCGUAGGCGGACUGUUAAGACAGCGGUAAAAGCCCGGGGCGCAAACCCGGCGGGCCGGUGAAACUGGGUGUCUAGAGAUGUCGAGAGGUAUGCGGAAUGCGCAGUGUAGCGGGGAAAUGCUUAGAUAUUGCGCAGAACUCCGAUAGCGAAGGCAGCAAACCGGCGGCGAUCUGACGCUGAGGCACGAAAGCGUGGGUAUCGAACAGGAUUAGAUACCCUUGUAGUC